GACGAACGCUGGCGGCGUGCUUAACACAUGCAAGUCGAACGGAAAGGCUCCAGAUUGCUGGAGUACUCGAGUGGCGAAAGGGUGAGUAACACGUGGGUAAUCUGCCCUGCACUCUGGGAUAAGCCUGGGAAACUGGGUCUAAUACUGGAUAUGACCUUUCUCCUUAUGGGGUUUGGUGGAAAGUCUUUCGGUGUAGGAUGAGCCCGCGGCCUAUCAGCUUGUUGGUGGGGUGAUGGCCUACCAAGGCGACGACGGGUAGCCGGCCUGAGAGGGUGAUCGGCCACAUUGGGACUGAGAUCCUGCCCAGACUCCUACCGGACGCAGCAGGUAGGGAUAUUGCACAAUAGGCGGAAACCUGAUGCAGCGAAGCCGCUUGGUGGAUUACGGCCUUCGGGUUGUAAACCUCUUUCACCAGGGACGAAUCGUAGGUGACGGUACAUGCAGAAGGAGCACCGGGUAACUAAGUG
RNAcentral lists this ribosomal RNA (467 nucleotides) under uncultured bacterium. Its description in RNAcentral is "partial 16S ribosomal RNA". It matches the Rfam family "Bacterial small subunit ribosomal RNA", at positions 28 to 507 of the family's 1533-position model. The record is from RNAcentral.